RNAcentral lists this ribosomal RNA (497 nucleotides) under uncultured bacterium. Its description in RNAcentral is "partial 16S ribosomal RNA". It matches the Rfam family "Bacterial small subunit ribosomal RNA", at positions 28 to 507 of the family's 1533-position model. The record is from RNAcentral.
GAUGAACGCUGGCGGCGUGCCUAAUACAUGCAAGUCGAGCGAACGGACGAGAAGCUUGCUUCUCUGAUGUUAGCGGCGGACGGGUGAGUAACACGUGGAUAACCUACCUAUAAGACUGGGAUAACUUCGGGAAACCGGAGCUAAUACCGGAUAAUUUUUUGAACCGCAUGGUUCAAAAGUGAAAGACGGUCUUGCUGUCACUUAUAGAUGGAUCCGCGCUGCAUUAGCUAGUUGGUAAGGUAACGGCUUACCAAGGCAACGAUGCAUAGCCGACCUGAGAGGGUGAUCGGCUACACUGGAAGUGAGACACGGUCCAGACUCCUACGGUAGGCAGCAGUAGGGACUCUUACGCAAUGGGCGAGAGCCUGACGGAGCAACGCCGGGUGAGUGAUGAUGGUCUUCGGAUCGUAAAACUCUGUUAUUAGGGAAGAACAUAUGUGUAAGUAACUGUGCACAUCUUGACGGUACCUAAUCAGAAAGCCACGGCUAACUACGUG